Molecule: long non-coding RNA, 950 nt
Organism: Pundamilia nyererei
Lineage: Eukaryota; Metazoa; Chordata; Actinopteri; Cichliformes; Cichlidae
Exons: 2
Source: RefSeq, a predicted model, not a curated record
AAUUCUGAGUGAGUUACUAUGACGACACACUCCGUGAAGCUAACCUGCCCCCUAGCAGGUUUACUUCAACUAACCCUGACCUUCUCCGCCUCUUUGUCAGAAACCUGACUGUAGGAAGUGUCAGACAUGGCGUGUCCCUUCCUUGAAGAGCCAGUAGAUGUUGAAGCCCAAAUUCUCCGCAGAGCUCUCCGCCGGGAGAGAGUGAUUAGAGCGCGUUUGGACAUUUUAUCAUUUCCUGAUGAUUUCCUGUGUGAACGUUACCGUUUUUCAGCACAAUCUAUAAUUCAUUUGAAUAACAUCCUCAGGCCUAAUAUUGCUCAUGUGACACAUCGCGGACAUCCUCUCAGUUCUGUACAUAUUAUUUGUAUUGCACUUCGGUUUUUUGCAAACGGGAGCUUUCUGUAUAAUAUUGGUGACGCUGAGCACGUUUCCAAGGCUACCGUCUGUCGAGCAGUCAGGAAUGUUACAGUUGCACUGAAACGUCUCCUGUACUCGUUUGUGGUGUUCCCCGGUCAUAGACCCACAAGAUUCAUCAAAGAGGGAUUCCACAAAAUUGCAGGUAUCAGGAUGAACAAAACUUAAUUCAUGAUGUGGUGAUACUUGAACUACUACUUAAAUUUUACAUUUAUUCUCACGGUUCCCAGGCGUGAUUGGCUGUACAGAUGGCACUCACAUUCCAAUCAUUGCUCCUUCAGUAAAUGAAGGAGACUAUGUGAACAGGAAGUCUUUCCACAGCAUUAAUGUACAGAUCAUAUGUGAUGCUGCCAACAUUAUCACAAAUGUGGAAGCCAAGUGGCCAGCCUCUGUGAGUGGUGGUGGUGGAGGACCCCCACCUGUUUUUCGGGCCUCCGCUUUUUUUCUAGUGGCCAUAACGGGCCACAUUUGAGCAUACAGAGUAAGCAAAUAUGUACUUGUAAUGUGCUCAGAUAAUUUCAAUAAGUGCUUACAGA